RNAcentral lists this ribosomal RNA (424 nucleotides) under Verrucomicrobiota bacterium. Its description in RNAcentral is "Verrucomicrobia bacterium partial 16S ribosomal RNA". It matches the Rfam family "Bacterial small subunit ribosomal RNA", at positions 355 to 776 of the family's 1533-position model. The record is from RNAcentral. Lineage: Bacteria; Pseudomonadati; Verrucomicrobiota.
UGAGGAAUAUUGGUCAAUGGGCGAGAGCCUGAACCAGCCAAGUAGCGUGCAGGAAGACGGCCCUAUGGGUUGUAAACUGCUUUUAUGUGGGGAUAAAGUGCGUGACGUGUCAUGCAUUGCAGGUACCACAUGAAUAAGGACCGGCUAAUUGCGUGCCAGCAGCCGCGGUAAUACGGAAGGUCCGGGCGUUAUCCGGAUUUAUUGGGUUUAAAGGGAGCGUAGGCUGUCUAUUAAGCGUGUUGUGAAAUAUACCGGCUCAACCGGUGGCUUGCAGCGCGAACUGGUCGACUUGAGUAUGCAGGAAGUAGGCGGAAUUCAUGGUGUAGCGGUGAAAUGCUUAGAUAUCAUGACGAACUCCGAUUGCGCAGGCAGCUUACUGUAGCAUAACUGACGCUGAUGCUCGAAAGUGCGGGUAUCAAACAGG